UAAUACGUAGGGGGCAAGCGUUGUCCGGAUUUAUUGGGCGUAAAGAGCGUGUAGGCGGCCAGGUAGGUCGGCUGUGAAAACUCGAGGCUCAACCUCGAGAUGUCGGCCGAAACCAUCUGGCUAGAGUCCGGAAGAGGAGAGUGGAAUUCCCGGUGUAGCGGUGAAAUGCGCAGAUAUCGGGAAGAACACCCGUGGCGAAGGCGGCUCUCUGGGACGGUACUGACGCUGAGACGCGAAAGCGUGGGGAGCGAACAGGA
Molecule: ribosomal RNA, 257 nt
Filed under: uncultured prokaryote
Description: partial 16S ribosomal RNA
Rfam family: Bacterial small subunit ribosomal RNA
Source: RNAcentral